AACGAACGCUGGCGGCAGGCUUAACACAUGCAAGUCGAGCGGGCGUAGCAAUACGUCAGCGGCAGACGGGUGAGUAACGCGUGGGAACGUACCUUUUGGUUCGGAACAACACAGGGAAACUUGUGCUAAUACCGGAUAAGCCCUUACGGGGAAAGAUUUAUCGCCGAAAGAUCGGCCCGCGUCUGAUUAGCUAGUUGGUGAGGUAACGGCUCACCAAGGCGACGAUCAGUAGCUGGUCUGAGAGGAUGAUCAGCCACAUUGGGACUGAGACACGGCCCAAACUCCUACGGGAGGCAGCAGUGGGGAAUAUUGGACAAUGGGGGCAACCCUGAUCCAGCCAUGCCGCGUGAGUGAUGAAGGCCCUAGGGUUGUAAAGCUCUUUUGUGCGGGAAGAUAAUGACGGUACCGCAAGAAU
This 415-nucleotide ribosomal RNA is filed under the name uncultured bacterium. RNAcentral describes it as "bacterial SSU rRNA". It matches the Rfam family "Bacterial small subunit ribosomal RNA", at positions 29 to 487 of the family's 1533-position model. The record is from RNAcentral.